This 169-nucleotide ribosomal RNA is filed under the name uncultured eukaryote. RNAcentral's name for it is "partial small subunit ribosomal RNA". The record is from RNAcentral.
GUACACACCGCCCGUCGCUAGUACCGAUUGAAUGGCUUAGYGAGGCCUCAGGAUCUGCUUAGAGAAGGGGGCAACUCCAUCUCAGAGCGGAGAAUUUGGACAAACUUGGUCAUUUAGAGGAACUAAAAGUCGUAACAAGGUUUCCGUAGGUGAACCUGCAGAAGGAUCA